GACGAACGCUGGCGGCGUGCCUAACACAUGCAAGUCGAACGGAAAGGCCCUGCGCUUGCGUGGUGCUCGAUAGGCGAACGGGUGAGUAUAACGUGUGUAUCCUGCACCUGACUUUGGGAGAACUUCAGGAGACAGGGGAGAAUAUCCCGUAGGAGAUCUUGCUGCACGGUGGGGGUUGGAGAGUGUCGGCGGUUGGGGAUGGACUAGCGGCUUAUCAGCUUGUUAGUGGGGUAGUGGCGUACCAAGGCUUUGACGGGUAGCCGGCCUGAGAGGGUGACCGGCCACAUUGGGACUGAGGGAGGGCCCAGACUCCUACGGGAGGCAGCAGUGGAGAAUAUUGCGCAGUGGGCGGAAGCCUGAGGCAGCAACGCCGCGUGCGGGAUGACGGCCUACGGGUUGUAAACCGAUGUCGCCGGUGACGAAGCGUUAGUGACGGUAACGGGUAAAGAAGCACCGGCUAACUACGUG
RNAcentral lists this ribosomal RNA (468 nucleotides) under uncultured bacterium. RNAcentral's name for it is "partial 16S ribosomal RNA". It matches the Rfam family "Bacterial small subunit ribosomal RNA", at positions 28 to 507 of the family's 1533-position model. The record is from RNAcentral.